RNAcentral lists this ribosomal RNA (309 nucleotides) under Gammarus varsoviensis. RNAcentral's name for it is "partial 16S ribosomal RNA". It matches the Rfam family "Bacterial large subunit ribosomal RNA", at positions 1923 to 2485 of the family's 2925-position model. The record is from RNAcentral. Lineage: Eukaryota; Metazoa; Arthropoda; Malacostraca; Amphipoda; Gammaridae.
UUUAACGGCUGCGGUAUUUUGACUGUGCUAAGGUAGCAUAAUCAUUUGUUGCUUAAUUGGUAACUCGAAUGAAAGGUUAAACUAACUCACUUGGUUUGUAGUGUUGGUUAGAAGAUUAAAGUCAAGGUAAGAAUUCUUUGAUUUUCUAGGGGACGAUAAGACCCUAGAAGCUUAACAAUAAGAGUAUUUAUUAGUUAUAAAGAUUAAUUUGUUUUACUGGGGCGGUAAAGGUAUAUAAACUAUCAGGUUAGUGAGAGAUCCUUAAGAUAAAGAUAUGGCGUAAAAGUUACUCUAGGGAUAACAGUGCGA